Molecule: small RNA, 1495 nt
Filed under: Pongo abelii (Sumatran orangutan)
Lineage: Eukaryota; Metazoa; Chordata; Mammalia; Primates; Hominidae
Description: retained intron
Source: RNAcentral
CUUCGCGGUAGCGGCAGCCGGGACCGCGGUUCAGGUAAGAAUGGGGCCUUGGUUGGAUCCGAAGGGCUUGUAGCAGGUUGGCUGCGGGGUCAGAAGGCGCGGGGGGAACUGAAGAACGGGGCCUGCUCUGUGGCCCUGCUCCAGUCCCUAUGUGAACUCCUUGGGAGGCCUGGCCUUCCCCACGUGAGCCGCCGCGACCACCUCCAUCCCGUCGCGAUCGUUUCUGGACCGCUUUUCCUUCCCAAACCUCCUUUAUCCCAGAGCAUUUCUUGGCUUCUCUUACAAGUCGUCUUUCUUUCCUCAGUCGCCAAUAUGCAGCUCUUUGUCCGCGCCCAGAAGCUACACACCCUCGAGGUGACCGGCCAGGAAACGGUCGCCCAAAUCAAGGUAAGGCUGCUUGGUGCGCCCUGGGUUCCAUUUUCUUGUGCUCUUCACUUUCGCGGCCCGAGGGAACGCUUACGAGCCUUAUGUUUCCCUGUAGGCUCAUGUAGCCUCACUGGAGGGCAUUGCCCCGGAAGAUCAAGUCGUGCUCCUGGCAGGCGCGCCCCUGGAGGAUGAGGCCACUCUGGGCCAGUGCGGGGUGGAGGCCCUGACUACCCUGGAAGUAGCAGGCCGCAUGCUUGGAGGUGAGUGAGAGAGGAAUGUUCUUUGAACUACCGAUAAGCGUCUAGUGGGUGUGGGGUGCAUAGUCCUGACAGCUGAGUGUCACACCUAUGGUAAUAGAGUACUUCUCACUGUCCUCAGUUCAGAGUGAUUCUUCCUGUUUACAUCCCUCAUGUUGAACACAGACGUCCAUGGGAGACUGAGCCAGAGUGUAGUUGUAUUUCAGUCACAUCACGAGAUCCUAGUCUGGUUAUCAGCUUCCACACUAAAAUUAGGUCAGACCAGGGCCCCCAAAGUGCUCUAUAAAGUUAGAAGCUGGAAGAUCCUGAAAUGAAACUUAAGAUUUCAGGGUCAAAUAUCUGCAACUUUGUUCUCAUUACCUAUUGGGCCCAGCUUCUCUUUAAAGGCAUGAAUUGAGAAAAGAGGGGUUCUGCUGGGUGGCACCUUCUUGCUCUUACCUGCUGGUGCUUUCCUUUCCCACUACAGGUAAAGUCCAUGGUUCCCUGGCCCGUGCUGGAAAAGUGAGAGGUCAGACCCCUAAGGUGAGUGAGAGUAUUAGUGGUCAUGGUGUUUGGACUUUGUCUUUUCCUGUCACAGCUAAACCAAGUCCCUGGGCUCUUACUCGGUUUGCCUUCUCCCUCCCUGGAGAUGAGCUUGAGGGAAGGGAUGCUGGGUGUGGAAGAUAUGAACCAGGGCCUGAUUAACCCUCCUUUCUCCAGGUGGCCAAACAGGAGAAGAAGAAGAAGAAGACAGGUCGGGCUAAGCGGCGGAUGCAGUACAACCGGCGCUUUGUCAACGUUGUGCCCACCUUUGGCAAGAAGAAGGGCCCCAAUGCCAACUCUUAAGUCCUUUGUAAUUCUGGCUUUCUCUAAUAAAAAAGCCACUUAGUUCA